Molecule: small nuclear RNA, 23 nt
Filed under: Arabidopsis thaliana (thale cress)
Lineage: Eukaryota; Viridiplantae; Streptophyta; Magnoliopsida; Brassicales; Brassicaceae
Description: snRNA_12115
Source: RNAcentral
AAAUGUAUUCCAAUACAUUUCUU